AUUAAAGGUAAAGCAAAAUGACUCAUGCCUGUGCAGGUAAAACAAUGUCUGCAAUUACCUUUGUCCUUCAAUAAGCAAAGGAAAAGGUCAAGCUGCCACUCAGGGACUCACAGAUUACCUUCCAGCCCAUUGCAGGAGAGGGAUGCUGUGCUGAUUGGAAAUUAGCUAUCUCUGGCCUUGAAGUCUCCAAAUAGCAAGGGUGAAACUUCAUCUUCUUUCCUCCCACACCUUUCCUUAUACGGCAAACAGCAACUUCCAGGUCCUGAAAGAAAGCACAUGGGAGCUCCUUCUUACCCCGUGUGAAGUGUUAUUUGUUUCCAAACUGUAAGCCACCAAGACAAAACUGAGAUCUGCAGGAGUAAUGACUGUCAGUGCCCCAUCUUUGCCACACAGGAGCUGUUUCCAGAGAGAGGAGAGGGGACUGAAGGGAUUGGCUCAGUUGUGAUAUUUGAUUUUCCACUUCUCGGAUGCAGAUGAGGUAAAAGGAAACAGCAUGAGGCUUCUCCCUUCCCUGGUCUACCAAAGCCUUCUCUUUGCUGGGGAAAGACUCCCUGUCAGAUUCCUUGCAAAUAGACCUUUGUUACAAAUCUUCUUGGGCCCAGAGGCACGUAACUGGGUGUAUUUGAUUCCCUUGGUUAAUAAAUAAACAGAGCCCUCCUGUGACAGACAGCCUUUCUGACUCCACACAGGGACACAGGGCUCCUCUCGGAGCAGGGAGCUGGAGCUGGAGCUGGGCAGGAAGGUGCUGUGCCAGCACAGGGAAAGGGGCACAUCACCAGCUUUGAGAACAUAAAGGAGGAGCUGGCCUGUCUGCUCAGAGCAAAAUAAAACAUACUUAUGGAAAUAGUAAGAAGGUUACAGCAGAGAAAACACCAGGGAGGGUCUAGUCUGAGAAGAUUGUUUAGGCUGAAAUACAGGUUUUUCUGUUUUAAAUUAGACCCCAGGUAGGGAGUACAGACACAGUGGAUCUCCAGUUUGAUGCAUCAUGAGCACAAUGUUGGUUUCUCACCUCUUCUCUGAGGUGUCUUACACACAAAGGAACUUAGCAAAGAACUAUCUUUGCUUGAGGUCUGUAAAACCAAAAACCAACUUGGCCUGACCAUCCCAAAGGUGGGUCAAAGCCAAAAGCUUUCAGCUAAAUGUCUCUUGCUUUCCAAGACUUGGUAGUCUGGGCACGAUAAAGCUGAGAUUUAAUUAAUCCUGAUGUUGGUUUUGAAAAAAAAAAUCCUGUUGAAUUUUGAUUCUGAAAAAAAACAGAGUUCCAAGGGUCUUUGGGAAAGAAAUUAACAACUGCUUAAAAUAGUGUAGCUUGAAGUCUGCUUUCCUCACAAAGUCUUCUGCAAUGUACUGCCAGUUUUGCAAGUCUGCAGUCCUACCAGGGAUGAUCGUCACCAAGUGAAAUUGAGCUUAGACUUCAGCAAUGGACUUUGUGGUUUCACUCCAGUCCCCACAGGAAACUUUCCUCCUCAAACCAUCCUGCUGUCUACCUUGGAGAGGCAGAGUCAGUAAAGCAGUGAAUGUUGCAGGUAGGAGUGAAACAGACUGGCAGAACAAUGUGGCUCCCACAGCUGCAAACACAGUCAAAUCUGAGAUAGAGAUGUUUUUGCAAGUCCGGAAUGGCAGAAGAUUUUGAAAUAUAAGUGCAUUGAAAUAAAUGUGUUAUACAAGGACAUAGCAGAUGCCAAUUCAGUGAGCAAACAAAAAAGCACAGCCCAUCCCUGUGUCAUUACAACUGCCUCAUUUAAAGGGCAGUUUUGACCAGAAUGACACAUUUGUGAGUCACACAAUGGGGAACAGGCUGUGACUUUGCUCAGAAAUCUACCUUGCUUUGGCUUCCUGUCAGCACGGCUGAAAGACCAAUACCUGUCAUGGCACAAUGUCCAUGUGUGGCAAGAGGGCCCCAGUUUAACCCCCUGCGUCCCUCAGGACCAGCUAAGCAUGCAGAAAACCACGCCUGCACACAGCCUCACUGCACACUCUGUAUGGGUGGUUGACAACAUGCACGUAGCCUUCAUGCAUGCAUAUUUUCUUGCAGUGUCUGAAACCAGACUGAUAAACACCUCUUCAAACUGGUACUCAGCUUCAUUCUCUGUUAUCCAAACAUUUCAUCAAAGGCCACUUACCUACAAAGCAGACAUCUCAACCCAAGCCAGACAAGCCACAUACCAAAAGCCUUUUGAAAACAAGGAACCAAACCUGACUUUAUUCGCUAAUAGUGAAGA
Molecule: long non-coding RNA, 2222 nt
Organism: Passer domesticus (house sparrow)
Lineage: Eukaryota; Metazoa; Chordata; Aves; Passeriformes; Passeridae
Exons: 3
Source: RefSeq, a predicted model, not a curated record